UACGGGGGGGGCAAGCGUUGUUCGGAAUUACUGGGCGUAAAGGGCGCGUAGGCGGCUGUCUAAGUCAGACGUGAAAUCCCUCGGCUCAACCGGGGAACUGCGUCUGAGACUGGAUGGCUUGAAUCCGGGAGAGGGAUGCGGAAUUCCAGGUGUAGCGGUGAAAUGCGUAGAUAUCUGGAGGAACACCGGUGGCGAAGGCGGCAUCCUGGACCGGCAUUGACGCUGAGGCGCGAAAGCCAGGGGAGCAAACGGGAUUAGAAACCCCCGUAGUCC
Molecule: ribosomal RNA, 273 nt
Filed under: uncultured bacterium
Lineage: Bacteria
Description: partial 16S ribosomal RNA
Rfam family: Bacterial small subunit ribosomal RNA
Source: RNAcentral